GAGAUACUCUUCUGGGGCAAGACUUGCUUCAGUGGGACUUUGGUGCUCACUGAGUCUGCCCCCUGAGUGUGUCCCU
Molecule: non-coding RNA, 76 nt
Organism: Myotis lucifugus (little brown bat)
Lineage: Eukaryota; Metazoa; Chordata; Mammalia; Chiroptera; Vespertilionidae
Source: Rfam